GAAACUAGUGUUGAUUGUGGUAUAACCUUUUUUGAUACCGCUGAAGUUUAUGGCUCUAUGCUCUCACUUGGUGCUGUAAAGUCAGAAACUCUUCNAUUCAUCAAGGAAAGGAAAGAAACAGAUCCUGAAUUGGAGGUUGCUAUUGCAACAAAGUUCGCAGCUUUGCCUUGGAGGCUAGGACGUCAGAGUGUCUUAACUGCCCUUAAGGNNNNNCAUUUGUCGCCUUGGAGUUUCUUCAGUAGAGCUUUAUCAACUGCAUUGGCCUGGAAUAUGGGGAAAUGAAGGGUAUCUUGACGGCCUUGGAGAUGCAGUGGAGCAGGGCCUUGUGAAGGCAGUUGGCGUUUCAAACUACAGUGAAAGCCGACUUCGAUGCUUAUGAGAGGCUUAAGAAAAGAGGUAUUCCAUUGGCUUCAAACCAAGUGAAUUACAGCCUAAUAUAUAGGGCACCAGAGGAGAAUGGAGUGAAGGCAGCCUCACUUUGAUUGCAUAUUCUCCCAUUGCUCAAGGAGCUCUUACAGGAAAGUAUACACCAGAAAAUCUUCCAACUGGCCCUCGAAGCAGAAUUUACACACCAGAGUUUCUAAUAAAGCUCCAACAUCUGCUGAACAGAAUCAAGGAAAUAGGAGAGAACUACAAUAAAACUCCCACACAGGUGGCCUUGAACUGGCUAAUAGCACAGGAGAAUGUAGUUCCAAUCCCAGGAGCCAAAACUGCAGAACAGGCCAAGGAAUUUGUAGGUGCACUUGGGUGGAGACUCACAAGCGAAGAGAUCAAUGAGCUGCGCUCAAUGGCAUUGGAGAUACAACCUGUUAUUGGCUUCCCUGCUGAAAAGUUAUAAAUUUUAUUCAUGCAUUUAAGUAAAUGCAAGUCUGGCAAUUCUGUAGUAACUCAUUGAUCUCCUACAUAACUUUCCUAUUAAAAAAAAAAAAAAUCAGGGGUGUUGAAGUUGUUCACUAUCAUGUAGUUGCAUUUGCUACAGUAGGCUUGAAUACAUGUUAGGUAUAGGCAAUUAAGUUGUGUUUGUUGGUAAAGGAAGCUACUCU
Molecule: unclassified non-coding RNA, 1043 nt
Filed under: Hevea brasiliensis (rubber tree)
Lineage: Eukaryota; Viridiplantae; Streptophyta; Magnoliopsida; Malpighiales; Euphorbiaceae
Source: RNAcentral